AUUGCCUCUGCUGGUGUUUUGUGAGUGAGCCCAGGAUAGGGUCCCCCUUCAGGUAUUGAAAGGCUACGAUCUGGUCUCCUCAUAACCCAGCUCCUCUGUUAGUGACACAUGAAGACUUUAAGAGUGGGGGAGUAGCAAACUGGAGGAGAAAAGAUUUUACAGCUAAAGAAACCGUAUGUCAACCUGAAGGACAGCAUCCAAUCUGUACCUCUGCUGCUGGAUUUCCUUUCGAUGCUGGCUUUAAUCUUCAGAUCUAUGGCAGUAGUCAGUAAAACGUGGAUAUUACCCUUCUACUUGAAAGAUGCUAUGAGGUUUUUAGUAUUUGAAAUCCAUGAGGUUAUUCCAGCACAAGCACCUGAGAAAAGCCCAGAAGGAAAAGAACACAUCCACAUUUAAGAGAGAGCUUAUGAGUCCACAUAUAGGAAGAGUGGGGAAAAAAAAAGGAAUAUUUUAGAAGAUUUGAGAAUGAGCACCAAUUGCCCUGUGUGCUGGGUGAAAUGGGACUCCUGUGGAAAAACCAUGACCAAAUAGUAAUCCAUGCAUACAUCUGUAUAUACAUAUAUACUCUGACACAUAUACAUAUAUAGCACUUCAACAAAAAAAUCUUCCAGUUUUUGCUCACUCACGGAAUUUUCUAUCACAGGCACCUAUCACAAGAUAGAACACUGCUUUUCACUUUUGCCCUUAUUAAAAUAUACUCUCAUUUUCACCUUCAUUGUGACCUUUUCCCUUGUUUCUCGCUUUCCACGUCUGUACAAUCUGACGCUCUCUUCCAUCCUCCCAAGACGUAACAUUGCACAGCAACACCAAAACACUGUCAGGAUUGUAUUUCUUUGAGAGACUUUUCUUCAGACUACUACUGCCCUCCUGAGAGGCAUGUAAUUCCCAUUAGAGUCAGUGUAAGCUCUGCUGCAAAGCGACUGCAAUCUGUAUCUCACAAGCUCUCCACCAGACUGUGGGGGCUCUGAUCGUUAAACACUGCCAUUUUAUAUAGUUAGUUGGGAGUGCUAAUUUAUAUGCUUGUAUUUUAACCAGAAUGGAACAGCUUCAGUAUUUUUUUAUUCCUCUUCUGUAGCCAAAAAUAAAACUUCCUGAUAAGUCUGAGCUAAAAUAUUUUACAUCAUGCAAGUGGCUCCAAGACCAGGGAGUGAGAAGACUCCAAUGAGCCCUUUGUGACUGCUGGCCUGUGAGAAAGGAGGAAGAUGUCAUUUUCUCAGCUAAAUAAAAACAUCUGAUUGGAAAAA
Molecule: long non-coding RNA, 1244 nt
Organism: Lagopus leucura (white-tailed ptarmigan)
Lineage: Eukaryota; Metazoa; Chordata; Aves; Galliformes; Phasianidae
Exons: 2
Source: RefSeq, a predicted model, not a curated record